Molecule: ribosomal RNA, 301 nt
Filed under: uncultured bacterium
Lineage: Bacteria
Description: partial 16S ribosomal RNA
Rfam family: Bacterial small subunit ribosomal RNA
Source: RNAcentral
CAGUCGCCGCGGGAAUACGUAGGUGGCAAGCGUUGUCCGGAAUUAUUGGGCGUAAAGGGCUCGCAGGCGGUUUCUUAGGUCUGAUGUGAAAGCCCCCGGCUCAACCGGGGAGGGUCAUUGGAAACUGGGAAACUUGAGUGCAGAAGAGGAGAGUGGAAUUCCACGUGUAGCGGUGAAAUGCGUAGAGAUGUGGAGGAACACCAGUGGCGAAGGCGACUCUCUGGUCUGUAACUGACGCUGAGGAGCGAAAGCGUGGGGAGCGAACAGGAUUAGAUACCCCUGUAGUCCCUGUCUCUUAUAC